GACGAACGCUGGCGGCAUGCUUAACACAUGCAAGUCGAACGAACCGUUCGUGGUUAUGGGCGGAGGGCUGAUUACCACCUGGGAACUAACCCUUGGGUUCGGUAUACUUCAGUGAGACAUAACUUCAUACCGAUGGUGCCCUUAGCGGGUAAGAUUAAUCGCCUCUUGAUCGGCCGGCGACUGUUUCGCUAGUUGGGUGAGGUAAUGGCUCAUAAAGGCGACGAUGAGUAGCUGGGGUGUGAGGAUGAUUAGCCACAUUGGGACUGUGACACGGCCCAAACUCCUACGGGAGGCAGCAGUGUGGUAUCUUGCGCAAUGGGCGAAAGCCUGACGCAGCCAUGCCGCGUGAAUGAUGAAGGUCUUAGGAUUGUAAAAUUCUUUCACCGGGGACGAUAAUGACGGUACCCGGAGAAGAAGCCCCGGCUAACUUCGUG
RNAcentral lists this ribosomal RNA (434 nucleotides) under uncultured bacterium. RNAcentral's name for it is "partial 16S ribosomal RNA". It matches the Rfam family "Bacterial small subunit ribosomal RNA", at positions 28 to 507 of the family's 1533-position model. The record is from RNAcentral.